This 450-nucleotide ribosomal RNA is filed under the name uncultured bacterium. Its description in RNAcentral is "partial 16S ribosomal RNA". It matches the Rfam family "Bacterial small subunit ribosomal RNA", at positions 354 to 796 of the family's 1533-position model. The record is from RNAcentral.
GUGGGGAAUAUUGGACAAUGGGCGAAAGCCUGAUCCAGCCAUGCCGCGUGUGUGAAGAAGGUCUUCGGAUUGUAAAGCACUUUAAGUUGGGAGGAAGGGCAGUAAGUUAAUACCUUGCUGUUUUGACGUUACCGACAGAAUAAGCACCGGCUAACUUCGUGCCAGCAGCCGCGGUAAUACGAAGGGUGCAAGCGUUAAUCGGAAUUACUGGGCGUAAAGCGCGCGUAGGUGGUUUUGUAAGUUGGAGGUGAAAUCCCCGGGCUCAACCUGGGAACUGCAUCCAAAACUACUGAGCUAGAGUACGGUAGAGGGUAGUGGAAUUUCCUGUGUAGCGGUGAAAUGCGUAGAUAUAGGAAGGAACACCAGUGGCGAAGGCGACUACCUGGACUGAUACUGACACUGAGGUGCGAAAGCGUGGGGAGCAAACAGGAUUAGAUACCCCAGUAGUCC